RNAcentral lists this ribosomal RNA (492 nucleotides) under uncultured bacterium. RNAcentral describes it as "partial 16S ribosomal RNA". It matches the Rfam family "Bacterial small subunit ribosomal RNA", at positions 29 to 507 of the family's 1533-position model. The record is from RNAcentral.
AGUGAACGCUGGCGGUAGGCCUAACACAUGCAAGUCGAACGGCAGCACAGUAAGAGCUUGCUCUUACGGGUGGCGAGUGGCGGACGGGUGAGGAAUACAUCGGAAUCUACUUUUUCGUGGGGGUUAACGUAGGGAAACUUACGCUAAUACCGCAUACGACCUUCGGUUGAAAGCAGGGGAUCUUCGGACCUUGCGCGAUUGAAUGCGCCGAUGUCGGAUUAGCUAGUUGGCGGGGUAAAGGCCCACCAAGGCGACGAUCCGUAGCUGGUCUGAGAGGAUGAUCAGCCACACUGGAACUGAGACACGGUCCAGACUCCUACGGGAGGCAGCAGUGGGGAAUAUUGGACAAUGGGCGCAAGCCUGAUCCAGCCAUACCGCGUGGGUGAAGAAGGCCUUCGGGUUGUAAAGCCCUUUUGUUGGGAAAGAAAAGCAGCAGGUUAAUACCCCGCUGUUCUGACGGUACCCAAAGAAUAAGCACCGGCUAACUUCGUG